GGAUAAGCUACUAAGGGCACACGGAGGAUGCCUUGGCGCCAGGAGCCGAUGAAGGACGGGACGAACACCGAUAUGCUUCGGGGAGCUGUAAGUAAGCGUCGAUCCGGAGAUUUCCGAAUGGGGCAACCCACUGGCUGGAAGAGCCAGUACCGCCGCCUGAAUCCAUAGGGCGGCCGGAGGCAGACCAGGGGAACUGAAACAUCUUAGUACCCUGAGGAAGAGAAAGCAAAAGCGGGCCCCGCGAAAGUAAUACUUUCGUGGGUGCUAAAAGCGAUUCCCCCAGUAGCGGCGAGCGAAAAGGGAACAGCCCAAACCGCCGGCUUUUUGCCGGCGGGGUUGUAGGGCGUCUCACACGGAGUUACAAAAGCACGGGGUAAGUGAAGUGGUUCUGGAAUGACCCGCCACAGACGGUAACAGCCCGGUAACUGAAACCCCCUGCUCUCCGAGACGGACCCUGAGUACCGCGGGACACGUGAAACCCCGCGGGAAUCCGGGAGGACCACCUCCCAAGGCUAAAUACUCCCUGGCGACCGAUAGUGAACCAGUACCGUGAGGGAAAGGUGAAAAGCACCCCGGAAGGGGAGUGAAACAGAACCUGAAACCGUGUGCUUACAAUCAGUCGGAGCAUCUGUAAGAUGUGACGGCGUGCCUUUUGUAGAAUGAACCGGCGAGUAACGGUUGCGUGCAAGGUUAAGGUGAAAAGCCGGAGCCGCAGCGAAAGCGAGUCUGAACAGGGCGAUCCAGUACGCAGCCGUUGACCCGAAACCGGGUGAUCUACCCAUGUCCAGGGUGAAGUGGCGGUAACACGCCAUGGAGGCCCGAACCCACUGGUGUUGAAAAACCAGGGGAUGAGGUGUGGGUAGGGGUGAAAUGCCAAUCGAACCCGGAGAUAGCUGGUUCUCCCCGAAAUAGCUUUAGGGCUAGCCUCGGAGAUUGAGUCAUGGAGGUAGAGCACUGAUUGGGCUAGGGGCCCUCCACGGGUUACCGAACUCAGUUAAACUCCGAAUGCCAUCGACUCUCACUCCGGGAGUCAGACUGCGAGUGCUAAGAUCCGCAGUCAAAAGGGAAACAGCCCGGACCACCAGCUAAGGUCCCCAAGUGACCGUUCAGUGGAAAAGGAUGUGGAGUUGCCCAGACAACCAGGAUGUUGGCUUAGAAGCAGCCAUCAUUCAAAGAGUGCGUAAUAGCUCACUGGUCAAGUGACUCUGCGCCGAAAAUGUAACGGGGCUAAACGGUCCACCGAAGCUGUGGAUGGUGCCGCAUUCACUCUGUCUUUGAAGGAAUGAACGGAUAUUUCCGUUCAUUCGCCGAAAACAACCUUGAUCUUUCUUCAAGUUUUCAGCGAAAUGCCUUUGGCUAAACGGCGUCUCUUUCAAAGCUGGAGUGAAUGCGGCACGAUGGUAGGGGAGCGUUCCAAGGGCAUCGAAGCCCGCUCGUGAGAGCGGGUGGAGCGCUUGGAAGUGAGAAUGCCGGUAUGAGUAGCGAAAAGAGGGGUGAGAAUCCCCUCCACCGAAAGCCUAAGGUUUCCUGAGGAAGGUUCGUCCGCUCAGGGUUAGUCGGGACCUAAGCCGAGGCCGAAAGGCGUAGGCGAUGGACAACAGGUGGAAAUUCCUGUACCACCCGCUUCCGUUUGUACGAUGGGGGGACGCAGGAGGGUAGAGAAUCGCGCGGCUGGAAGAGCGCGUCCAAGCAGUGAGGCUGAAGAAACAGGCAAAUCCGUUUCUUCUUCAAGCCAGGCUGUGACGGCGAGGGAAAUGAUGAGUACCGAAGUUCUUGAUCUCACACUGCCAAGAAAAGCCUCUAGGAGGAAGCAGGUGCCCGUACCGCAAACCAACACAGGUAGGCGAGGAGAGAAUCCUCAGGUGCUCGGGAAAACUCUCGUUAAGGAACUCGGCAAAAUGACCCCGUAACUUCGGGAGAAGGGGUGCCCCGUUAGGGUGUAUGCCCGAGGGGGCCGCAGUGAAGAGGCCCAGGCGACUGUUUAGCAAAAACACAGGUCUCUGCGAAGCCGCAAGGCGAUGUAUAGGGGCUGACGCCUGCCCGGUGCUGGAAGGUUAAGGGGAAGGGUUAGCUAACGCAAAGCUCUGAACCGAAGCCCCAGUAAACGGCGGCCGUAACUAUAACGGUCCUAAGGUAGCGAAAUUCCUUGUCGGGUAAGUUCCGACCCGCACGAAAGGCGUAACGAUCUGGGCGCUGUCUCAACGAGAGACCCGGUGAAAUUGUACUGCCAGUGAAGAUGCUGGCUACCCGCGACAAGACGGAAAGACCCCGUGGAGCUUUACU
RNAcentral lists this ribosomal RNA (2283 nucleotides) under Paenactinomyces guangxiensis. RNAcentral's name for it is "Bacterial large subunit ribosomal RNA". It matches the Rfam family "Bacterial large subunit ribosomal RNA", at positions 1 to 2105 of the family's 2925-position model. The record is from Rfam by way of RNAcentral. Lineage: Bacteria; Bacillati; Bacillota; Bacilli; Caryophanales; Thermoactinomycetaceae.